Molecule: ribosomal RNA, 253 nt
Filed under: uncultured bacterium
Lineage: Bacteria
Description: partial 16S ribosomal RNA
Rfam family: Bacterial small subunit ribosomal RNA
Source: RNAcentral
UACGGGGGGGGCAAGCGUUGUUCGGAAUUACUGGGCGUAAAGGGCGCGUAGGCGGCCUGCUAAGUCGAACGUGAAAUCCCCGGGCUCAACCCGGGAACUGCGUCCGAUACUGGCAGGCUUGAAUCCGGGAGAGGGAUGCGGAAUUCCAGGUGUAGCGGUGAAAUGCGUAGAUAUCAGGAGGAACACCCAUGGCGAAGGCAGCUUACUGGGCAUUAUCUGACGCUGAGGUGCGAAAGCGUGGGGAGCAAACAGG